GGUGCUCCUGCCACUUUAAGGGCCUGGAGCUGGCAGCCUCCAGGUGCCUGAUUAGGGCAGCCAUUUUGGGGCCUAUAUAAACCAGGCAGUUUGGCUGCAGGAGGUCAGGUAGCAACAUUGUCUGGCCUUAGGGCUGCUGUGUACAACUUGGAGAAGAUCUGCGACUUCCCUAUUGAGCCAAGAUGGCCUCCUGGCCCUUGCGUCACCUUUUUUUGCGUACAGAUGAAAGACGUAUACCUUCCCAUGGUGCAACCUCUGAGUAGCUGAAGAGUCCAUUCCACAGCAAAAUGAAAUACAUCAUCAAGACAAGUUCAGAACGGAUACAGUCAAUUGACAGGCACCCACCUGUGGGCCGGAUUCAAUUAGUUGGCCACCUGGAUCUGCACCACGGGCCAUAUUUUGCCCACCCCCAUUGUAGAGCCUCUGUGGAUGGCCAGGUCCCAGAGCAGGAGCUGACUGAUCAGCCUGAGUCCUCCUUUGAUGUCCUCCAGGUGUGUCUCCUGGCUGCAGACAAUGUGUGCACCUGGCUAGGGGGAUGUGCACUUUAGGCCAUAGGGAUAUGAGCACACCUGGCCAUGAGGGCUGCGUAUGCCCAGCUAUAAGGGAUGUCUGCAUGGGUCCUCACAGGGAGACUGGGGCUUAGCCAAGCAGUGGAGUCAAGGCUGUGGAAAAAUUGGCUUUGCAUGAAGACUGCAUUUUACCAGCUUUCAAGCAAACAGAAAUCCCUUGAGAGAGGACUGGGCCUCAUUUCUACACAGUCCUUGCUCCUUCUGUGAGGGGCCCAGCACCAGCUGCAAGAAAGAGGUAGAACCCUGGGCUGGAGGCAGCCAUGGGCCAACCUGUUCCCUCCUGGGCCCAUGGGUAGGGAUGGCUUGUUCUCUAAAGCAGGAAGCUGAAAUCCUGGUCCCUGACUUGCAUGCCUGGCUGGUCUCUCUAAGCUCUAUAACCAGCCCAUUGGGGAGCUCCUGGCCUUCAGGAUGCAGGCAGUAAGCUUCUCUGGCUCAGCAGCAUCUCCUGUCAAAGUCUUUGCUUUUCCUUGGCUGUGCUGAACACACUGGAGAAAAGCUGUCCUCUGUGCUGCUAUUUCAUGCUCCAUAGUAUUAUUCUUAGGAUCCUGGGUUAAACUUCAGUAAGGGAGGCUGGUCUGCCUGCCAGCCAGGCCCCAUGGCAAGGCAGUCUCCAGGAGGCUAAGUCUGAACUGGUGGUUCCCAGCUACUUUUGCCAGAGCAACCUCCUGCUGCUGGCAUUCCCACCAGUACCAGGGCUAGCAGGACUGAGCCCUCCACCCUUAUUCAGAGCUGCCUAGGCUCUGUAUCCCAGCAACAGGGCUCCAGGGGAAGGAACUGAGUAUUGAACCUGCUGGAGUGCUAGCUCACGAGAAAGGCUGACAGGCUGGGAGCUACACUGGGCAGGUGGGCCGCAUAUCCCAAGCUCAGUGUGGAUGAGUUUGGACUGCAGGGUGGCUUCAGCAGAGUGUGAUCAUACCCAAGACUUGGUUUUGUGGUAAGUCAAGCUCACAGGCUUUAUCAGUUGUCUACUAAUGGGAUUUUGCACUGGGUUUGUUUCAAGAGCGCCUGGGAGGGUAGUGGUCAGGCAAAGCAGCUGUGUGCUCCGUGGCUUGUCUGUCCCCAGGCUGGAACACAGGAGAGAAGCAGGGAGCUCAUGUAGGACACCCAGAAUCCCUUGUAGGACAGCAGAGAUAGCAAGGGGAUUUGGAGCAGAAGCUCUUGAAUGAAGACAGGCCCUGUGGCGCGCAUGCUCGCUCUCUCUCUCUCUCUCUCAAAAUUUUAUUAUAUAUAUAUAUAUAUAUAUAUAUAUAUAUAUAUAUAUAUAUAUAUAUGGUUAUGACUCACCAGCCUGUGAUGUUUGGUAUCACCACUAGAGAAGCCCCAAGCCUUAGCCCUGAUGCACAGUCCCGGGCUGAACUGGUCCCCACUCUCCAGUGCUUGGGGCAACAUAGCAUAUGUCCCCGACUGGUGUGUGGCCUUGUCGUCCCAGCCUCUAGUGACAUGUGCACAUGGCUGCUACUGGAGCACCAUGCUGAGGGGAAACAGCAGAAGAGACUACAGAGAGCUUUGCCAGAGGCCAGUCACAGGGGAGGUGGGAGUGCAAGUGCAGGAUAGGAAUGUAUUGCCUCCCAGUUGUCCCUCCUGUUUCUGCUGCUCUGGUUGCUGCCUUGGGCACUCCUUAUUCUCUAAACACUGCAGGUCUUGGCUCUGGCAUAGGUAAGUGAGGUGCUAACAGGACAGAGGACAUAGACCUGGUUCUGGAAAAAGUAUGCUGGGCUCCCACUGCUGCUUCUGGGAUAAGGAGUGAGGGGAAAAAGGGGCUGGGGCAGCAGCACUUCUUCUCCAUCCCUAGUCUCAUGUGGCAUGGCUGGAGGAACCUAGAAAACAACUGACCCACAUGUCAUGCACUGGAGAGCCAUUCCCACCUCGCUGAAGCCUCUGCCCCUUAGCCCCAGGACAGGCAUCACCAGUGCCAGGGAUGGAGCAUUGCCCUUAGCAUAUGGGAGUCAGGUUCCAAAGUUUCCACUUCUGUUGUUUUAGGGUUUUUCCAUAUUGUAGGUGUCUGGGGAACCCCUGCAAGUUAUUUGCUCCUAUGUGAACAUGUCAGACUGUCUAGGGUCCUUCCUUCUCCAAGCAUAUUUGCUAAGCACUUUGGGUUCAUUCAGGCUCUCCAACAGCCCUGCUGGUUCUGUCUCCCAAGUCCUCUUUGACUCCACAUCCAUCCCGUGAAGGUCCAUAUGCUGCAUGCAAGUGCCAGGAAGUGCUGGUGGUGCAACCAGACACGACUGUUGGGAGAAAUAAAAGCACACAUACCCCAACUUCUCCUGGUUAAGGAAAAAGGGAAGAAAAUGCCAUUUUGUGUUUUAAUUGGGUUUUUUUUAUUAUUAUAUAAAAUUCGGGUUUCUUGUCUAAAUGUUUCAAUCUGAAUUCUGCAUUCCUAUGUAUUUUUGAAGACAUCAGUGGGUUAAUUCAAGAAAUUUGAAGAGGAAACAUGGUUUGGUACCAAGGUCCCUGUGAAGCAUGAUGGGCACCAAUUGGGCUCAGUCCCCAGGGCAUCUGCAGCCUGUGCCCCCACCCCAGCUGAAGCCUAGCUGAGGACAAUAUGACCUGGAGUUCUCCCAGGGGUAUUAACCCCAACUCCAGAGAACAGUGGUGGGGGAAAAUGCCAAAUCCCCGCAGAAUCUGCUAUAGCCAAGAGCUUUAGAGUGGCUGUAGGCUCUCCUGAAAAACAGUACCCAAUUCCAAAGUCUGAUCCAGCUUCUGCUCAACAAGUCAUGCUGGGAGACAAGCUUGAACAGAAUACCACAUUACUGCAAGAACCAUUGUGAGCUAUGUGAGCUGAGGACUCCCCCUUCUGGCCACUACAGGACACAAAUCUGUCCAAGAGCUGCAUCCCAUGCUAUGAACUGCUUCACAGCUGGUCCCUGCCUGGCUGCCCAAUCUGUCCCAAUCCUUCCACCUUCUGGCCCUCUGCCAUGAUUGUUUUCCAGUCCCACAGCUAGCAAGGAGGUUUGCUAACACUCCAUCCCUACCUCCAAGACCAGUCCACAUUCCAGAGCAUUACUCGUUCACAUGGCCCUGCAGUGCCUCUAAGGAAGAGGCACUGGGCCUGGAGGCUACUGGACACAUGGACCCUGUGCUUCCCUUGGGCUCCAUCCUGUGCUGGCACCACACAGGAACUCCAAGACCCAGCCUGGACUCCACAGUCACAACCAC
Alligator mississippiensis (American alligator) is the source of this 3725-nucleotide long non-coding RNA. RefSeq lists it as uncharacterized. The record is from RefSeq and is a predicted model, not a curated record. Lineage: Eukaryota; Metazoa; Chordata; Crocodylia; Alligatoridae. The transcript is spliced from 3 exons.